GGGGGAUAUUGCACAAUGGAGGAAACUCUGAUGCAGCAACGCCGCGUGAGGGAAGAAGGUCUUCGGAUUGUAAACCUUUGUCCUUGGUGACGAAACAAAUGACGGUAGCCAAGGAGGAAGCUCCGGCGAACUACGUGCCAGCAGCCGCGGCAAUACGUAGGGAGCAAGCGUUGUCCGGAUUUACUGGGUGUAAAGGGUGCGUAGGCGGCUCUGCAAGUCAGGCGUGAAAACUAUGGGCUUAACCCAUAGACUGCGUUUGAAACUGUGGGGCUUGAGUGAAGUAGAUGUAGGCGGAAUUCCGGGGGUAGCGGUGAAAUGCGUAGAGAUCGGGAGGAACACCAGUGGCGAAGGCGGCCUACUGGGCUUUAACUGACGCUGAAGCACGAAAGCAUGGGUAGCAAAC
Molecule: ribosomal RNA, 403 nt
Filed under: uncultured bacterium
Lineage: Bacteria
Description: bacterial SSU rRNA
Rfam family: Bacterial small subunit ribosomal RNA
Source: RNAcentral